Molecule: long non-coding RNA, 5294 nt
Organism: Alligator mississippiensis (American alligator)
Lineage: Eukaryota; Metazoa; Chordata; Crocodylia; Alligatoridae
Exons: 3
Source: RefSeq, a predicted model, not a curated record
UAUGCAGCAACGCACGCCCAGGAGCAGGCAGGCACAGGGCACAGCAAGAAGCUACAGCAAUAGCAGAGGGGCACGGGCUUGAUGACACGAGCAGCAGAGCUAACCUGCAACCCACAAUAAAACACCUGCACGCACAUGCAUCAUCCAUCAUGCAUGUCAUAUAUGCACAUGCACUCUAAUGCACCCAGAUACACGCACACACACAUGCACGUGCAAACACACACACACUGUGGCAAAAAGAUGCGGAAUUACAGGUAGACAUUUGUAGAAAAAUACAUUCUGCUGUAAGUCCACACAGUUCAACAGCUCAAAAUAUUGUAAUAUUGGGAACGCAUAUACUGCCUGAGCGCUUUCCCUGUGUAUUUUAGCUGCGUUGUGGUGGGGCUACACACACACACACACACACACACACACACACACACACACACACACACACUCUCUCUCUCUCUCUCUCUCUCUCUCUCUCUCCUUCACCUGCCCUCCACUCUGUAUUUCCUGCUCUGCAUCCAAGUAGCGCCCCACCCCUCCACCACUUUAUUCCAGCUCGCUCCAGACCCUACAGAAACUGGUAAGGCGACAAGAUCAGUUGCUGAAAGGAAAACCUGUGGAGCAUCAUCAGGCCAAUCUGACACUUAUUUCAUUGGGAUUAAAAAGAACCAAGCAGAGGAAAUGAAACAGCAUUGGUGACACCUCUGCUGGAGCACUGCAAUGGAAGGUAACCAUGCCAGGCACUGGCAUCCCUGCCAGCAAACCUGGAAGCCAGCAGGCUAGCUCACUGGCCAGUGCACCAAGGAACAGGCCUAGAGAAGCCCAGAUUUCUGCCCUUCUGGGAGCGGGUGUGGAAAAGCCAGACCCCAGGAUGGAGAGAGCUGCAGGGAGCAGGUGUCGCUGGGCUUUGUGCUGCCCCUGCCACUGCUCGGACGUGUCCUUCUUACAACAGGCAGCUUCAGAGAAGCAGCAGCCCCGUGACUCAGCUCAUUGUCCCCAAUGAAGGGGGAGGAGGAACGAUCGUCCAAAACCAGGCAUGAAAUGAAGAGAGAAAGGAGAUAGUGAUGCAUGCUCUGAGGGACAAGCAGGUAGCUGGCCUCUGUUGGGGUGUGAAAAUGUCAGGCAUGGAGCAGGCGGAGGUCUCCUGCUGACCUCUGCUGCGGGCAUAGCUGUUGUGCCUCCACCUGGCUUACUCAUGUCUGGGUUCCCUACAGCUCUGCCAAUGCACCUUGAUCCUGACCUGCAGCAGCCUCUGCUUUUCUAGGCCUCCGCUACCAGCUCCUGCCCUGGGCUGUGGGGAACUCAAGCUCUGCUGUGGAGGCUGCUAACAAGGGGUCAGCUUCUCUGCUGCCCUAUGCUGGGUCCAGUGUUUUGCACCCGUGCCAAAGCAGCGUGGCCGUGUGUACUAGGAUGCCUGGUUGAGCUCCCCACACAGCUCAUUUUCCUGCACCCUCUGGUAUUUCAGCUGGUGGCCUCCAGACCAUGCUGCCUGCACUCUGCAAUCCUGACCAGCCCUGUGUGCUGCCAUUUCGAUCCCAGCCCUUCAAGGAGCUCUGCUGAUGCUCACAGCUGACCCUGAGUGCCCGCUGCUAAUCUGGUCUGGAGCCCUUGAACCACUCUGCAACCACCCUGCAGCUCAGCUCUGUGUCCCAAGCCCUGGCUUAGCAAAACCUGCCAGCCUGCCUGGGCCAGUACUCUGUGACCGCUGCAUUGGCUCAUGAACCACAGCAUCCCGGUGCCAGCUGGGCCACAGCCUGCACCUUGUCCUACAGCCCCUGCUCGCUUUCUUCAGCCACACGGUAUCUGCAGUGCCUCAAAUCCUGCAAGGACCCAGCCAAAGCUGCUGACGCUGCUCCCCCUCUGCCAGUGGUGCGACGGGCGAGAGGUUGAGCCUUCCCUGGCGUGCGAGGCUUGGCGCGGCCCCAGAGCAGGUGCCGUGUUGAGCUUGGGCCUUUGCUGUGUGACUGGGCUGGUGGGGAGUGAAGCUUCUGCCUGACUCAGCCUACUGCGCUGUGCAAAACUUGUGCGCUUUUGUCCCUGUGGGAGGGAACAGAUAUAUCCCUGGGGCUUAUCAACAGCCUCCCAGGGGCCGGUGGGGGAGGAAACCCGGUGUCUGCGGAAACCCAGAGAUCAAUGAACCAUUUAGCUCCUUCCAUCCACCCCAAGCCAAGCUGCUAAGGCAGGCUGCGGAAGGUGCCCUCCAGAAGCUGGCUGGUGGGGCUAGCUUUGCUAGGAGGGAGAUUUGGGGCAGAAAAGGCUUGGAGACUGAGGCAUGGAGAGGUCUGAUACAGCUGCUGGGUCUUGCCUGCCCUCCUCUCUCCCCUUGAGUUAUGCUGUGGCUUUAGGGAUGUUCUGAGUUUCAGCCUGGCUCUUGCUGUUUGCCUAGUCCUGCACCCCACCCCACCCGACGUGUGCGUGCACACACACACAUACACAGAUGUCCUCAUGCACACCCCCAAUGCACGUACACACACACAUACAUGUGUUCACUCUGACACAGACAGAUGCUCCCGCACGCACCCUGGCACCCCAACACACGUGCCCCCACAGGCCCCCCUCGCACACAGACACACCCACACAUUUCCUGAUGCACACACCAAAGCUCCCAAGAAGCUGCCUUCGCUUUGCUUUGAGGCACCUCGCUUCCCAGAGCUUAGUCAUAAAACAACAUCUUGCAAUCAUCCUGGUAGCCCUGAAUCACAGCUCCCCCUAACCCACGACUGUCUGUCCCCUGGAGCUGAGGAGGACUGUCCGUCCCAGCCCAAUGUCUGGUCAGGGUCAGGCUUCCCCAGUGUUUCUUCACCCCACACCCCUCGCCCCAGUCUGGCAUCAGAGCUGGCAGCUACCUCCCUGCAUCUUCAGGGCUGGGCUCUCCACGGAGCAAGUCAAGCAGCGAGUACCUUCUGCUGAGGCUGCUGCUGCCCUGCAGCCUGCCCUGAUGUGCCCCUGGGGCCGUGAUGCUCCCUGCCCUUCCCCUAAGGUCCCCCGCGCUGUUGGAAGCAGUCUGGAGAAACCCCCCAGUGAAGCAGCUCCAUCUCAGUCCAGUUCAGAGGCAGCUGGGACAAAACUGCUUGCUCCUCCCCAGCCAAGCACCCUAGUGGAAAGGGCUCAUUGAAUGCUGCCAUGCUCCCCUGGCACGUGUGCAAUUGACUGUGCAUGGCACAGUGCACCUCGGCCCCUUCUUUGCAGCCUCUACAGCAUGGCAGAAGCUCCCCACUGAGCAGGGCACAAGCUUUGCCUUGCUGCUGCCCCAGAUCCUCAGAGUAGCACCAUCCAUCCCUGGAGCUCUCCGUGCAGGACCUCUCCCCAGCACCGGGACAGGAAUGAACCAGAAAGGGGAGCUGAGCAGCAGGGAUCCUCCCCCCAUAGAGACAGACCCACAGGGGCUUGGGUGGGGGUUGUCAACUGUUAUCCUUCCACAGCAGCCCCCAGCCAAAAUGUUGGGUGUUGGAUACAUGCAGAGAUAGUCCCUGCUUCCCCAGGACAGGUACAACUUGAUUAGAUGAGGCAGAAUGAGGUCUCACUUGGGCAACUGAGGCACAGAGAGACUAAGGGCCAGGACUAUAAUAGUAUUUAGGCCCCUCAAGGCACAGAAGGUGACUGGGGGGUGUGUGUUAAAAGCACCUUGAAAUCAAUGGGAGUUAAAUCAUCCUUGACUAUCCCCCUUGGCACCCAUCUGCAUCUCCAGGCACCUAAGUACCUUUAAGGACUGGGCUCUGAGUAACAUGCCCAAGGUCACACAGGAAGCCUGUGGCAGGGUAAUGAAUUGAACCCAGGCCUCUCAAGUCCCCAGGUCCUGCCCUGACCAGUGGGCUGUCCUACCCCCCUUGCUGGGUCUGUGGCACAGAAUAGCCAAGACCUGGGCUGAAAGGCCUCAGGUUUUGUUGUAUCUCAGCUAUGGGUCCAGGCAUGCACCUGUCAAAGCUAAUAGGGGUUUUGCUACUGUUGUCAAGGGGAAUGGGCCCAGUAGACUUGUGAUUCAUCCCUUGCCCUUCCUUCCACCCUUUGCCUCAUGAUGUCAAUGGGAAGCAGAGCCUGGCAAACUGUUAAUUUUAUGCGCUGUUUGCUUCAGCAUCCGCACAUGCAGAGUGCUGGGGCCCUCCUCCCAGCACAGCACCCUGGUCAGCCCAAUUUGCAGUGUAUGCUGGCUGCCAGAUGCAGUCUCACUGGUAACACAGCUCAUGUGCAAGGGAGAAGGACAGAGAAGGUGGGGGGAGAAGGAAGAAAGGGCAAUGUGGCUUCAGCCCUAACCAUUGCACUCAAAAUCAGCCCCUUGGGCAACGGAGUGAUGGAAAACAAGGAAAAUGUAGCAGGAGAGAUGGGAAGGGAGAGCAAGAGUCAGUCAUAGAGACAGAGAAACAAUGGUGGGACAGGCCGAGCUGCCCGCAAGAGCUGUUCCUAAACAGCCUGAGCUGCAUCCGUCAAAGGUACCUGAGCUGAAUCCCCAUGGCCUGCCUGCAGCUUGGCUAAGGAUGGAUAGGUAGAGGAGGGCUCUGGUACCAGGACACAGGCCGACACACGUCAUAGGGUCAGGAUGGGAUUCUCCCUUGCUUGCUUCUUUGGCCUUUUGGCUAUGGGCAAGUGAGACUAGGGGUCAUCUGAACCCCAACACCCCUGGGCUUGCGGCCUGCAUGUAGGACGCUUGCCGUGGGUUCGGGAGUAUCUGAAGCCUCAGGCUGAAGAGUCUGGGAGGGAGGAUCUUUGCCGGCGGUAGCGCUGCACAGACCUGAAUGACUGAGCUCUGCUCAGUUGAUGCAAUUCGGAGCUGAUUUGGCCCCAGACAUGAAAUUAAAAAGAAAAUGGGAAGAAAUGUCCAGCCUGGAGCCAGUUGUGCAAGGCGCUGCACAAACACAGAGCAAAGAGAUGGGCUCAGCCCUCAGGAGCUGUAGCCUAAGCAAGUUCCGUCUAUCCAUCCCUCUGCCCUGACUGCAAGAGCCUUCUCUAGCGUCAUUUCCUCAGUCUCUUGCUUCACCUGCUUCUCAGGGACCUGAAUGCUCAAGCUCCCAGCCCCUGUAGGGCGACUAAGCCAACAGGCUGUGUACUAGGCAAAGAAGAGUAGGAAAGGGGAAAAUUGGGAGACACAGGGAAAAUGUGCUAGGGGAAGAAGACUGGAGACACAUAGUCACAGUUGUCUCUACUCUUCCUCCCCUAAUACACAGCCUAUUUUCCCGUUUUCUCCACUCCAUCCUCUGAUUCCUCGUAUGUCCUCUUUAUGCCUGAACAAGUCUCUCCUCCUUGGUGCUGACACAUUGCCAGUACACAGAGAUGCUCAUGAUCCUCUGGAUAAGCUGUAUUUGUUGGGCCAA